This is a long non-coding RNA of Brassica napus (rape), 776 nucleotides long. RefSeq lists it as uncharacterized. The transcript has 2 exons. The record is from RefSeq and is a predicted model, not a curated record. Lineage: Eukaryota; Viridiplantae; Streptophyta; Magnoliopsida; Brassicales; Brassicaceae.
CGAGUUUUACCCACAUAUUUUAAUUUCCACUAUAGAUUAGUUGGGGUACUGAUCGUUGGUAGUAACUUUGGGGGCACACACUGUGAUGAUUUCAAAUCAUGGGACUUUUAGGUUGCAGAUCUAUUUUUAAGUAGAUUUCAAAUUGUAUUAUCUGAAAUGUUUUUUUGUAGCCUUGCAUGUUAUAAGAAAAAAAAACAGAAUUAUGGAUGUAUUAAACCGAAUAUUUGAUAUAAUUUCGUCAACAUUUGAUGAAUUAAGAACAUUUAUUGAAAGUUUGAAACACAGGAAAGUUCAUACUAAAUAUUGGUUAUCGUGGCUUAAAAUCAUCGUAAUUUAAUAAUGUUAGGCAAAUCCAAAACCGUACACUGACUUAGAGGAGAUGAUAGAGAUGAUAAGAACAAAUUUAAUCUGAAGCGGGAGGUUAUUUAUCCUAUGUAAAUUAGUUUUGGGAUAAAACGUUAAAAAGGUAAAAAUAUAAGGGUAGUAAAAUGAUAUUCAACAAACACAGCAAGGUAGAGUAAACCAUGAUCGCACAAGAUCACUGGCUCACCUGAGGUAAUGCUCUCUGUUUUCCUCACAACUCAGACUCAAUCCUCUGAAACAUUUCAAUGGGAAAAUCAGAGUUUUACAUGAAAUCGUCUUCGAGUUCUUGAAGCGAUUUGUUGCUCGAAGCAAUGUCUUUGUUGGAUGUCAUUUUAUCAGUUACCAUCAACCCCUUGUAGCUCCUCAUCUCUGCUUGCCUCUCCUUCUCCAGCCUCUCUAUCUCUUCACGUUUC